Molecule: long non-coding RNA, 1200 nt
Organism: Carassius auratus (goldfish)
Lineage: Eukaryota; Metazoa; Chordata; Actinopteri; Cypriniformes; Cyprinidae
Exons: 4
Source: RefSeq, a predicted model, not a curated record
UAAAAACUUUCCAUGUAAUUUCAGUUAACAAGCAUCAUGAAAAUAUUAAAACCGUGCACGCAUCUCAUGCCCUAUAUUCCAUAUUAUCUUCAGAAAUCAUCCAGUGGUUGAGUGACAGACAAAAGACAGGCAUUUAUCAGUCAUCAGUUCCUGUGUUUGAGUGAUUGACGUGAAUUUGAUCAGUCACGUAUUCCUAGAGAAGAGAAUGAGAACUGUUAGAGAAGUGAAUGUCAGUCAGUCAUCGCCGGUGUUGUGUCUCAGGGGCUGAUGUUGGCUACAGAGGGAGCCAAGGUCCUGGAGUUUUAACUGGUGACCCCGAGUGUAAGGUGCUGAUGCUGCUGCUGGAGUCUGGUUUGUACGAGGUGUUGAUGAAGAUGCUGCUGACGGAGCUGAGUGUGUGACAGAGCUGCUGUGACGGUGGUUGUGGUCAGCGCAGGGUAUCCGGCCUCAUAUGAGAAGGGUCUGGAGAUCACCGGUGUCAGAGAUGGGCAUUCAGGUGUUUCACGCUGGCACUGUGCUGAAGGAAGGGGCGGGGUUAUGACGAGUGGUGGGCGUGUCCUGAGAGUGACUGCUGUCCGGCCCACCCUCGAGAGUGCCUUACGUAUCACUAAUGAAGGAGUGAGCUGCAGCAGGGGACUGUCGUAUAAGGACAGCGGUGUGGACAUCGCAGCGGGGAACAGACUCGUGGAUCUGAUCAAACCUCUGACCAAAGCCACGGCUCGUCCAGGUCUGUCCAUCUCUCAUCACGCUGAUGCUCCACUUUUCUUUUAUUCACUUUUAUAACAGUUGUCUUUUUUUCUCAUGUGCUGAUGAUUGAUAGCCGAUUAAUCUUCCUGUUGACUGCAAGAAAACGGUAAACUUUGUGAGGUUCUUUGAUGCAGUUUUUUCUCACAGGAGUUCAAAGCUUGAUCUGGUUUUUCAGUGUCAAUCAUCUUUCUGUCGAUUAGCUUUCACUCAAACUGCAGACUCACAGAACAAAGCUCUUUUAAACCUGUUUAUGGCACGAGAGGGGAGUUUAGUGGGUCUUUAACACUUCUGUCGUCUCACACAUUUCACAUGUUAUUUCACGCUUAUCAAGUCUCUGAUUUGAGUGACACAUUAAUAUUGUUUGUUUUUUUACUAAACGAGUCCUAAAAAUGAAUUGGAUUAUUUCUAAAAGCAGAACACACCAUGAGACAGAAAAAGAAACCAUGCAAAAUA